UUAAGUUAUUAAGGGCGCACGGUGGAUGCCUUGGCACUAGAAGCCGAUGAAGGACGUUACUAACGACGAUAUGCUUUGGGGAGCUGUAAGUAAGCUUUGAUCCAGAGAUUUCCGAAUGGGGAAACCCAGCAUGAGUUAUGUCAUGUUAUCGAUAUGUGAAUACAUAGCAUAUCAGAAGGCACACCCGGAGAACUGAAACAUCUUAGUACCCGGAGGAAGAGAAAGAAAAUUCGAUUCCCUUAGUAGCGGCGAGCGAAACGGGAAGAGCCCAAACCAACAAGCUUGCUUGUUGGGGUUGUAGGACACUCUAUACGGAGUUACAAAGGACGACAUUAGACGAAUCAUCUGGAAAGAUGAAUCAAAGAAGGUAAUAAUCCUGUAGUCGAAAAUGUUGUCUCUCUUGAGUGGAUCCUGAGUACGACGGAGCACGUGAAAUUCCGUCGGAAUCUGGGAGGACCAUCUCCUAAGGCUAAAUACUCUCUAGUGACCGAUAGUGAACCAGUACCGUGAGGGAAAGGUGAAAAGCACCCCGGAAGGGGAGUGAAAUAGAACCUGAAACCGUGUGCUUACAAGUAGUCAGAGCCCGUUAAUGGGUGAUGGCGUGCCUUUUGUAGAAUGAACCGGCGAGUUACGAUUUGAUGCAAGGUUAAGCAGUAAAUGUGGAGCCGUAGCGAAAGCGAGUCUGAAUAGGGCGUUUAGUAUUUGGUCGUAGACCCGAAACCAGGUGAUCUACCCUUGGUCAGGUUGAAGUUCAGGUAACACUGAAUGGAGGACCGAACCGACUUACGUUGAAAAGUGAGCGGAUGAACUGAGGGUAGCGGAGAAAUUCCAAUCGAACCUGGAGAUAGCUGGUUCUCUCCGAAAUAGCUUUAGGGCUAGCCUCAAGUGAUGAUUAUUGGAGGUAGAGCACUGUUUGGACGAGGGGCCCCUCUCGGGUUACCGAAUUCAGACAAACUCCGAAUGCCAAUUAAUUUAACUUGGGAGUCAGAACAUGGGUGAUAAGGUCCGUGUUCGAAAGGGAAACAGCCCAGACCACCAGCUAAGGUCCCAAAAUAUAUGUUAAGUGGAAAAGGAUGUGGCGUUGCCCAGACAACUAGGAUGUUGGCUUAGAAGCAGCCAUCAUUUAAAGAGUGCGUAAUAGCUCACUAGUCGAGUGACACUGCGCCGAAAAUGUACCGGGGCUAAACAUAUUACCGAAGCUGUGGAUUGUCCUUUGGACAAUGGUAGGAGAGCGUUCUAAGGGCGUUGAAGCAUGAUCGUAAGGACAUGUGGAGCGCUUAGAAGUGAGAAUGCCGGUGUGAGUAGCGAAAGACGGGUGAGAAUCCCGUCCACCGAUUGACUAAGGUUUCCAGAGGAAGGCUCGUCCGCUCUGGGUUAGUCGGGUCCUAAGCUGAGGCCGACAGGCGUAGGCGAUGGAUAACAGGUUGAUAUUCCUGUACCACCUAUAAUCGUUUUAAUCGAUGGGGGGACGCAGUAGGAUAGGCGAAGCGUGCGAUUGGAUUGCACGUCUAAGCAGUAAGGCUGAGUAUUAGGCAAAUCCGGUACUCGUUAAGGCUGAGCUGUGAUGGGGAGAAGACAUUGAGUCUUCGAGUCGUUGAUUUCACACUGCCGAGAAAAGCCUCUAGAUAGAAAAUAGGUGCCCGUACCGCAAACCGACACAGGUAGUCAAGAUGAGAAUUCUAAGGUGAGCGAGCGAACUCUCGUUAAGGAACUCGGCAAAAUGACCCCGUAACUUCGGGAGAAGGGGUGCUCUUUAGGGUUAACGCCCAGAAGAGCCGCAGUGAAUAGGCCCAAGCGACUGUUUAUCAAAAACACAGGUCUCUGCUAAACCGUAAGGUGAUGUAUAGGGGCUGACGCCUGCCCGGUGCUGGAAGGUUAAGAGGAGUGGUUAGCUUCUGCGAAGCUACGAAUCGAAGCCCCAGUAAACGGCGGCCGUAACUAUAACGGUCCUAAGGUAGCGAAAUUCCUUGUCGGGUAAGUUCCGACCCGCACGAAAGGCGUAACGAUUUGGGCACUGUCUCAACGAGAGACUCGGUGAAAUCAUAGUACCUGUGAAGAUGCAGGUUACCCGCGACAGGACGGAAAGACCCCGUGGAGCUUUACUGUAGCCUGAUAUUGAAAUUCGGCACAGCUUGUACAGGAUAGGUAGGAGCCUUUGAAACGUGAGCGCUAGCUUACGUGGAGGCGCUGGUGGGAUACUACCCUAGCUGUGUUGGCUUUCUAACCCGCACCACUUAUCGUGGUGGGAGACAGUGUCAGGCGGGCAGUUUGACUGGGGCGGUCGCCUCCUAAAAGGUAACGGAGGCGCUCAAAGGUUCCCUCAGAAUGGUUGGAAAUCAUUCAUAGAGUGUAAAGGCAUAAGGGAGCUUGACUGCGAGACCUACAAGUCGAGCAGGGUCGAAAGACGGACUUAGUGAUCCGGUGGUUCCGCAUGGAAGGGCCAUCGCUCAACGGAUAAAAGCUACCCCGGGGAUAACAGGCUUAUCUCCCCCAAGAGUUCACAUCGACGGGGAGGUUUGGCACCUCGAUGUCGGCUCAUCGCAUCCUGGGGCUGUAGUCGGUCCCAAGGGUUGGGCUGUUCGCCCAUUAAAGCGGUACGCGAGCUGGGUUCAGAACGUCGUGAGACAGUUCGGUCCCUAUCCGUCGUGGGCGUAGGAAAUUUGAGAGGAGCUGUCCUUAGUACGAGAGGACCGGGAUGGACAUACCUCUGGUGUACCAGUUGUCGUGCCAACGGCAUAGCUGGGUAGCUAUGUGUGGACGGGAUAAGUGCUGAAAGCAUCUAAGCAUGAAGCCCCCCUCAAGAUGAGAUUUCCCAACUUCGGUUAUAAGAUCCCUCAAAGAUGAUGAGGU
RNAcentral lists this ribosomal RNA (2850 nucleotides) under Staphylococcus aureus M0355. RNAcentral's name for it is "bacterial LSU rRNA". It matches the Rfam family "Bacterial large subunit ribosomal RNA". The record is from RNAcentral. RNAcentral also lists the same sequence under 1 other name. Lineage: Bacteria; Bacillati; Bacillota; Bacilli; Caryophanales; Staphylococcaceae.